GUGAAUCAUCAAAUUUUUGAACGCAAAUUGCACUCCCUGGUAUUCCGGGGAGUAUGCCUGUUUGAGGGUCGUUAGAAUAAAAAAUCGAGACUUCGCUCUUUUUUUGAAGGGUGAUCGCGUCGGAAUUGAGCCGUCUUUCAAGUGUUGAUUCAUGUCAAAGUGUCUUAAAAGUCAUCCAUCCGAUACUAUUAAAGCGGAUUUAAGGACAACUUUGAUUAAGAACGAGCGAUGUCGGACCAUC
This 241-nucleotide unclassified non-coding RNA is filed under the name Glomeraceae sp. RNAcentral describes it as "partial contains 5.8S ribosomal RNA and internal transcribed spacer 2". The stretch from base 1 to 71 matches the Rfam family "5.8S ribosomal RNA", at positions 84 to 154 of the family's 154-position model. Lineage: Eukaryota; Fungi; Glomeromycota; Glomeromycetes; Glomerales; Glomeraceae. The record is from RNAcentral.